RNAcentral lists this ribosomal RNA (394 nucleotides) under uncultured bacterium. Its description in RNAcentral is "bacterial SSU rRNA". It matches the Rfam family "Bacterial small subunit ribosomal RNA", at positions 28 to 428 of the family's 1533-position model. The record is from RNAcentral.
GACGAACGCUGGCGGCGUGCUUAACACAUGCAAGUCGAGCGGUAAGGCCCUUUCGGGGGUACACGAGCGGCGAACGGGUGAGUAACACGUGGGUGACCUGCCCUCAGCUCUGGGAUAAGCCUGGGAAACUGGGUCUAAUACCGGAUAUGACUCCAUGACGCAUGUUGUGGGGUGGAAAGCCUUGUGCGGCUGAGGAUGGGCCCGCGGCCUAUCAGCUUGUUGGUGGGGUGAUGGCCUACCAAGGCGACGACGGGUAGCCGGCCUGAGAGGGCGACCGGCCACACUGGGACUGAGACACGGCCCAGACUCCUACGGGAGGCAGCAGUGGGGAAUCUUGCGCAAUGGGCGAAAGCCUGACGCAGCGACGCCGCGUGAGGGAUGACGGCCUGUGUAA